Molecule: ribosomal RNA, 301 nt
Filed under: uncultured bacterium
Lineage: Bacteria
Description: partial 16S ribosomal RNA
Rfam family: Bacterial small subunit ribosomal RNA
Source: RNAcentral
CAGCAGCCGCGGGAAAACAGAGGGUGCGAGCGUUAAUCGGAUUUACUGGGCGUAAAGCGUGCGUAGGCGGCUAAUUGAGUCGGAUGUGAAAUCCCCGAGCUUAACUUGGGAAUUGCAUUCGAUACUGGUUAGCUAGAGUGUGGGAGAGGAUGGUAGAAUUCCAGGUGUAGCGGUGUAAUGCGUAGAGAUCUGGAGGAAUACCGAUGGCGAAGGCAGCCAUCUGGCCUAACACUGACGCUGAGGUACGAAAGCAUGGGGAGCAAACAGGAUUAGAUACCCGAGUAGUCCCUGUCUCUUAUAC